Molecule: ribosomal RNA, 1149 nt
Filed under: Triticum aestivum (bread wheat)
Lineage: Eukaryota; Viridiplantae; Streptophyta; Magnoliopsida; Poales; Poaceae
Description: partial small subunit ribosomal RNA
Source: RNAcentral
AUGGCAGGAAUCAUGAUCAGCGCUUCAACCGGCGCCAUGAACUCCCUCCUCGGCAAGCUGGCCACCCUCAUGGGGGAGGAGUUCGCCAAGCUCAAGAACCUACGCAAGGAAGUGAAGUUCAUCAGGGAUGAGCUUGGCAGCAUGAAGGAUACUCUCGAGGUGCUCGGAGAUGUGGACAAGCUAGACCCCCAGACCAAGAGCUGGAGGGACACGCUAAGGGAGAUGUCUUACGACAUUGAAGAUAUCAUCGACGACUUUAUGCAUCACAUUGGGAAGAAAAGUGAAUCCCAAGAGCAUGGGUUUGCCAAGAAGACGGUUCGACUCCUAAAAAAGUUGAGAGUCCGCCAUCAGAUCGCUGGUCGGAUCAAGGAGAUCAAGGCACUUGUGCUUGAGAUAAGUGUGCGGCGCCAACGGUACAAGCUUGACAUUCCUCAAUCAAGAACUGUGGAAAUUGACCCACGAGUUGCAGUACUCUAUGAAAAUGCAGCCAAUCUUGUUGGUGUGGAAGGGCCAGUGGAGGAGCUUGAAAGCCUGCUAAAAGAUGAGAACGAGGAAUUCAAGGUGGUGUCGAUUGUGGGAUUUGGAGGUCUAGGCAAAACAACACUUGCCAAUGUGGUAUAUGGUAAGCUGAAGAAAAGUUUUUCGCACUGUGCUUUUGUGCCAGUCUCUCAGAAGCCAGAUAUCACAAAACUUCUCCAUGGUUUAAUGUCUCAACUUGGGUGUACACCAUCUUCUCAUCAUUACGAGUUAAAUGUCCUUCUGGACCGACUUAGGGAACAUCUACAAAAUAAGAGGUACUUUGUAAUAAUUGAUGAUAUAUGGGAUGUAUCAGCCUGGAAAGUUAUUAAAUGUGCUUUCCCAGAAAAUGAUCUUGGCAGCAGAGUAAUAGUAACUACAAGAAGUCUAGAAGUUGCUACGGCGUGUUGCUCCCUUCCCCAUGAUUACGUUUUACAAAUGAAGACUCUUAGCAACGAAGACUCAAGAAGGUUAUUUUUUGGUAGAAUAUUUGGCACAGAAGACGCUUGCCCUAACCAACUCAGAGAUGUUUCCGUUGAAAUCCUCAAAAAAUGUGGUGGCUUGCCUCUUGCAAUUAUUAGCAUAGCAGGCCUGCUAGCGAGUGAAGGUCCCAACAGAGAGGCAAAAAAAUGA